RNAcentral lists this ribosomal RNA (104 nucleotides) under Acanthosepion pharaonis. Lineage: Eukaryota; Metazoa; Mollusca; Cephalopoda; Sepiida; Sepiidae. The record is from RNAcentral.
UAAUAUUAUUUCUGAAGCACCUGUUCCAAUACGAUCACCAAAGUUAAGCAACGUGGAGCCUGAUCAGUACCUAGGUAGGUGACCGCUUGAAAAUACCAGGUGCC